GACGAACGCUGGCGGCGUGCUUAACACAUGCAAGUCGAACGGAAAGGCCCUGCUUUUGUGGGGUGCUCGAGUGGCGAACGGGUGAGUAACACGUGAGUAACCUGCCCUUGACUUUGGGAUAACUUCAGGAAACUGGGGCUCAUACCGAAUAGGAGCUCCUGCUGCAUGGCGGGGGUUGGAAAGUUUCGGCGGUUGGGGAUGGACUCGCGGCUUAUCAGCUUGUUGGUGGGGUAGUGGCUUACCAAGGCUUUGACGGGUAGCCGGCCGGGGAGGGUGACCGACCGGAUAGGGAGGAAGUGAGGCCCCGGACACAUACGGAAGGGAGGAGGGGGUAGGAUAUAACACAGGGCGGAGGCAUGAUGGAGGAAGGCCGGGUGCGUGAGGGAGGCCUUCGGUUGGUAAACAGAGUUCGCUUGUAAGGAAAGGUAAGGAACGGAACUGGGGAAAAAGGCCCGGCCAAAUUCGGG
Molecule: ribosomal RNA, 467 nt
Filed under: uncultured bacterium
Lineage: Bacteria
Description: partial 16S ribosomal RNA
Rfam family: Bacterial small subunit ribosomal RNA
Source: RNAcentral